Molecule: ribosomal RNA, 254 nt
Filed under: uncultured bacterium
Lineage: Bacteria
Description: partial 16S ribosomal RNA
Rfam family: Bacterial small subunit ribosomal RNA
Source: RNAcentral
UACGUAGGCAGCGAGCGUUGUUCGGAGUUACUGGGCGGAAAGGGUGUGUAGGCGGUUGUUUAAGUUUGGUGUGAAAUCUCCCGGCUCAACUGGGAGGGUGCGCCGAAUACUGAAUGACUUCGAGUGCGGGAGAGGAAAGUGGAAUUCCUGGUGUAGCGGUGAAAUGCGUAGAUAUCAGGAGGAACACCGGUGGUGUAGACGGCUUUCUGGACCGUAACUGACGCUGAGACACGAAAGCGUGGAUAGCAAACAGG